RNAcentral lists this ribosomal RNA (863 nucleotides) under uncultured Neocallimastigales. RNAcentral describes it as "partial large subunit ribosomal RNA". It matches the Rfam family "Eukaryotic large subunit ribosomal RNA", at positions 26 to 633 of the family's 3401-position model. The record is from RNAcentral. Lineage: Eukaryota; Fungi; Neocallimastigomycota; Neocallimastigomycetes; Neocallimastigales.
CGCAUCUGUGCAUGCAGCAUAUCAAUAAGCGGAGGAAAAGAAACUAACAAGGAUUCCCUUAGUAACGGCGAGUGAAGCGGGAAGAGCUCAAAUUUGAAAUCUUCAAGGUUUUACCUUGACGAAUUGUAGUUUAAAGAAGUGUUUUCUGUUGAAGUUUUGGUAAAAGUUCUUUGGAAUAGGACAUCAUAGAGGGUGAGAAUCCCGUAUUUGACCAUUAUUUUCAGCUGUGUGAUACACUUUCAAAGAGUCGGAUUGUUUGGGAAUGCAGUCCAAAAUGGGUGGUAAAUUUCAUCUAAAGCUAAAUAUUGGCGAGAGACCGAUAGCGAACAAGUACCGUGAGGGAAAGAUGAAAAGAACUUUGAAAAGAGAGUUAAACAGUACGUGAAAUUGUCAAAAGGGAAGCGUUUGACACCAGUGUUGUUUUCUCGAAAAUCAAUUAAAAAGAGUUUGAUUUUGUUGUGUAUUGACCUUAACAGCUUGCAUUUCAAUUUUCUUGCUUUUUUUAAUGCACUUUUCGUUUAACAAGUCAACAUCAGUUUCUUUUGUUGUAAAAAGGUCAUUGGAAGGUGGCUUUCUUUUCGGAGAAAGUGUUUAUAGCCUUUGACUCCUGCAAUCGGAGAGACUGAGGUCUGCAGCGUAGAUCCUUCGGGGUUAGAUACAUUUGUGCUAAGUUAUAGCUUUUUAUAGACAACUUGUUGACUAUGAUUAGUCUUGUAGCUUACUCGCUUAUGCUAUUUUACCUACGCUUAGGAUGUUGACACACGCGCGUGCUCGACUCUAUACAUGACUCUGUGCAUAUCAAUAAGCGGAGGAAAAGAACUAAUUUACCUUACGCUUAGGAUGUUGACGCAUGAGAUAUACGC